This is a long non-coding RNA of Salvia miltiorrhiza (redroot sage), 766 nucleotides long. RefSeq lists it as uncharacterized. Lineage: Eukaryota; Viridiplantae; Streptophyta; Magnoliopsida; Lamiales; Lamiaceae. The record is from RefSeq and is a predicted model, not a curated record. The transcript is spliced from 2 exons.
UAGGCCGCCGGUAUACUCGAUAAUAUUGACUAUGGCAGGUUCAAAGCCACAAGCUACCUUUCCAAAUGCAAUGUUGUUACUUAAGAGAACUGAGCUAAAUGUCUGCAUACAUUCGCAUACUGAUUUCUCACUCAUGUGGGGGAUUGUUGGAAAUAUGGUUUUAUGCCAUAUCUGAAAAUUAUUAUUUAAUUAAAUAUUUAUUAUUUAAUUAAAAUAAUAAUUGGAUGUUAAUCUACAUCUCGAGUAGAUCAACGUGAUAUACUUGAAGUCUCAAAAUCGAUUUCCGGUGAGUGAGAUAUUAUAUGUCAAAGUUUGGAUGUUGAAAAGGGAAAAUCAGUUUCAACUUCUGCGUUCAACGAUUGCGGCCACCUACCGCAGCCGCCGGAAUUGACUGUUUCAACUUCUGCGUUCAACGAUUGCGGCCACCUACCGCAGCCGCCGGAGUUGACUGCCGAUCCGUUCACACUCGGUUUAACACCUAUAAAUAUGGUUCGCCGGAGCUCGCCGGAUUGUGGUGCUACAUCCGCCGAGACGAAGUCGUUUUACCUUUGGGGAAGAUACGCCAAACCGAAGAGCACUACCGGGGCGAUAAUCUUCUUGCGGGAAGAGAUUCAUCUCGACUCGACUUAGUUUAUACGUAUAAUUUAUUUAUACAGUAUAUUUCAGUUGUAUACAAUUAUUUGAGUUGUAAUUUCUCAAAUUAUUUUCUUUGUAAUAUUUUCAAUUAUUUUGAGUUGUAAUAUCUCAAAAUAUUUAUUUUGUAAUA